UACGUAGGUGGCGAGCGUUGUCCGGAUUUACUGGGCGUAAAGGGAGCGUAGGCGGACUUUUAAGUGAGAUGUGAAAUACUCGGGCUCAACUUGAGUGCUGCAUUUCAAACUGGAAGUCUAGAGUGCAGGAGAGGAGAAUGGAAUUCCUAGUGUAGCGGUGAAAUGCGUAGAGAUUAGGAAGAACACCAGUGGCGAAGGCGAUUCUCUGGACUGUAACUGACGCUGAGGCUCGAAAGCGUGGGGAGCUAACAGG
This 253-nucleotide ribosomal RNA is filed under the name uncultured bacterium. Its description in RNAcentral is "partial 16S ribosomal RNA". It matches the Rfam family "Bacterial small subunit ribosomal RNA", at positions 524 to 776 of the family's 1533-position model. The record is from RNAcentral.